GCUGGGCGCGGUGGUGGGCGCCUGUAAUCCAGCUACUCGGGAGGCUGAGGCAGGAGAAUUGCUUGAACCCAGGAGGCGGAGGUUGCAGUGAGCCAAGAUCGCACCACUGCACUCCAGCCUGGGCGACAGAGCAAGACUCUGCCUCAA
Molecule: small RNA, 147 nt
Filed under: Pongo abelii (Sumatran orangutan)
Lineage: Eukaryota; Metazoa; Chordata; Mammalia; Primates; Hominidae
Description: Metazoan signal recognition particle RNA (ENSPPYG00000029948.1)
Rfam family: Metazoan signal recognition particle RNA
About the family: The signal recognition particle (SRP) is a universally conserved ribonucleoprotein. It is involved in the co-translational targeting of proteins to membranes. The eukaryotic SRP consists of a 300-nucleotide 7S RNA and six proteins: SRPs 72, 68, 54, 19, 14, and 9.
Source: Rfam by way of RNAcentral